Molecule: ribosomal RNA, 429 nt
Filed under: uncultured bacterium
Lineage: Bacteria
Description: bacterial SSU rRNA
Rfam family: Bacterial small subunit ribosomal RNA
Source: RNAcentral
UGGGGAAUAUUGGACAAUGGGGGCAACCCUGAUCCAGCGAUGCCGCGUGUGCGAAGAAGGCCUGCGGGUUGUAAAGCACUUUGAGUGGGGAAGAAAGACGUACGUUUAAUAGACGUAUGAGUUGACGUUACCCACAGAACAAGCACCGGCUAACUCUGUGCCAGCAGCCGCGGUAAUACAGAGGGUGCAAGCGUUAAUCGGAAUUACUGGGCGUAAAGGGCGCGUAGGCGGUUAUUUAAGUUAGAUGUGAAAUACCCGGGCUUAACCUGGGAAGUGCAUAUAAUACUGGAUAGCUAGAGUAGAAGAGAGGGAAGUGGAAUUUCCGGUGUAGCGGUGAAAUGCGUAGAUAUCGGAAAGAACACCAGUGGCGAAGGCGGCUUCCUGGAUUCAUACUGACGCUGAGGCGCGAAAGCAUGGGGAGCAAACAGG